This 229-nucleotide long non-coding RNA is filed under the name Phasianus colchicus (ring-necked pheasant). RNAcentral's name for it is "lncRNA (ENSPCLG00000020227.1)". Lineage: Eukaryota; Metazoa; Chordata; Aves; Galliformes; Phasianidae. The record is from RNAcentral.
AUUUAAUCACUUUUAGUAAGAGUAUUUAUCAUUUGUCAUUUGCCAGAAUGAAGCAAUGACAGAGUACCUCAAGGCAUGUUUUCACCAAAGCAGUGAAAACAGGUGCUCAAAUACAGCUACACAUAUACAGCUUCUGUGAUACCAUCUGCACAAUUACCAGGUGAGCAUUUGAUAUUUUAUUUGCAACCAUCUGUGCCUUUGACAUUCUUCACAGGAAAGUAGAAAGAAG